RNAcentral lists this ribosomal RNA (449 nucleotides) under uncultured bacterium. RNAcentral describes it as "bacterial SSU rRNA". It matches the Rfam family "Bacterial small subunit ribosomal RNA", at positions 29 to 524 of the family's 1533-position model. The record is from RNAcentral.
AACGAACGCUGGCGGCAUGCCUAACACAUGCAAGUCGAACGAGACCUUCGGGUCUAGUGGCGCACGGGUGCGUAACGCGUGGGAAUCUGCCCUUGGGUUCGGAAUAACAGUUAGAAAUGACUGCUAAUACCGGAUGAUGUCUUCGGACCAAAGAUUUAUCGCCCAAGGAUGAGCCCGCGUAAGAUUAGCUAGUUGGUGAGGUAAUGGCUCACCAAGGCGACGAUCUUUAGCUGGUCUGAGAGGAUGAUCAGCCACACUGGGACUGAGACACGGCCCAGACUCCUACGGGAGGCAGCAGUGGGGAAUAUUGGACAAUGGGCGAAAGCCUGAUCCAGCAAUGCCGCGUGAGUGAUGAAGGCCUUAGGGUUGUAAAGCUCUUUUACCAGGGAUGAUAAUGACAGUACCUGAGAAUAAGCUCCGGCUAACUCCGUGCCAGCAGCCGCAGUAAC